RNAcentral lists this ribosomal RNA (252 nucleotides) under uncultured bacterium. RNAcentral describes it as "partial 16S ribosomal RNA". It matches the Rfam family "Bacterial small subunit ribosomal RNA", at positions 524 to 776 of the family's 1533-position model. The record is from RNAcentral.
UACGGGGGGAGCAAGCGUUGUUCGGAUUUACUGGGCGUAAAGGGCGCGUAGGCGGCCAGCACAAGUCAGUUGUGAAAUCUCCGGGCUUAACUCGGAAAGGUCAACUGAUACUGUGCGGCUAGAGUGCAGAAGGGGCAACUGGAAUUCUCGGUGUAGCGGUGAAAUGCGUAGAUAUCGAGAGGAACACCUGCGGCGAAGGCGGGUUGCUGGCUGACACUGACGCUGAUGCGCGAAAGCCAGGGAGCGAACGGG